GACCUGCACAGCAGAUCUGAGCCCCUCUACUCAAAACCUAAGGCAUAAGGAAAAUGAUUUUGAUGGGUACAAGAGUCAUGAUAGGGUGCAUUCUCUGAUGACCCCAAAAUCUUAUAAUAAAAGCUUAUUUCUUACUUAAGCACAGUCCAAUACAUGACGGGUGGUUCUCCUCCAACUCAUGACUCAGGGAUCCAGGUUCACUACCUAUUGUACGUCUGCCACCCCAACAUCCGGCCUUCAUGUCCCAAUGGAAGGAAAAAAGGAUUGUGCCUGAGAGUUUGACGUACGAAGCCUGGAAGUGAUGCAGAGCACUUCCCCCUCCAUUCCAUUGCCUAGGACAGUCUAUGGCUCCACCUAACUGUGAGGAAAGCUGAAAAAGGUCAUCUGUGCACUCAUGAAGAGGAGAAGGAUGGGUAUUGCUGAUCAUCAGCAGUAUCUGUGGCGGUCAUUAAAAACAAACUAACAAAAAAACAAAGCAAGAUAAGACCCAGGGGUAAAGGGCAGCUACUAGGACUCAUCCAUGGGUUUAGCUUUGGAUAAGGCCCAUUUUAUAUUUGAUUUAUUUAACGUGUAGUAACAGACAGUGUUGCCUACAUAAAGCCACAUCCUUUUCCUUAAUCAGUAUCUUUUUGUGAAACCUAACACCCACAGAUUUCCAGGAAUCUAGGUCCUGCCUAUUUCCAGGAGGGUGACUCUUGAUCCAUUUAAUGAAAAAAUAGUAACUCCAUUUUCCUUGCUAGUGACUGGCUUAACUAUGAGCAACUGCCCCAAUUCUGGCCAAUAAGACAGGACUAGACAUCCUCCAGGUGGGCUUCUGGGAAAGAUUUCUUUUCCUGCUGAUAAUAGGAGAGAGAAGACAAUUAAGUGACUCUCCUUCUGCUGGAUGUUGUCAUCUGCAUGUGAUGCCUGGGGCAGCCCUCUGACACCAUGAGGGAUCCAGCCAAAGAGGAUAUUAAGGGUGGCAGAGUAGAGAGAUUGUGAUAAUAUCAACAAGACAGUGAAAUAAUGGACUCUGGACCUAUUAUACUUCUGGAAUUCUGGUUUUAUGAAAUAAUAACUUUUCUUUGCAGUUUACUCUAUUUUUGGAUGACUCUUUUUGCCAAUGCAGCCAAAAUCAUCCUGUUAGAUACAUGCUAAGCACUUUAGAUAUAUGCACUCCAAAAUGCAGCCAGUGGAGAUCUAAGGCCCAUCCAUAUCUACCUUCAUCAGAACAGGGAGCCAAGAGCUCCUGCCACUCUGGGCCCCUUGAGUUCCCAUUGUGGUUCAGCGGUAAUGAAGCCGACUAGUAUCCAUGGGGAUGGGGGUUUGAUCCCUGGCCUCACUCAGUAGAUAAGGAUCCGAUGUUGCCAUGAGCUGUGGUGUGGGUCACAGAUGCAGCUCAGAUCCUAUGUUGCUGUGGCUGUGGUAUAGGACAGCAGCUAUAGCUCCAAUUUGACCCUUAGCAUGGUAACUUCCAUAUGCUACAGAUGCAGCCCUAAAAAGCAAUAAAUAAAUAAAUAAAUAAAUCCAUAAGCACUUCAAGAAAGACCUGAAAUUCUGUCGAUGCUAAGUAUGUGCUCCUAUCAUUAUUAUUGUAGUAGCAGAAGCAGAAUUUUUUUAAUCUUUGAUUUGGAUACAAUUUUAAAGGCUACUUUCCAUUUACAGUUAUUAUAAAAUAUUAGCUAUAUUACCCAUGUUGAGAACUCUUGGUUUUUAUAAACUAAGGUAAACUUUAUCUGCUGCUAAAUGCCCCCUGAGUGUCCGUUUUGCCUCUUAACCCCCGCAGAACUUCAAGCAGAAGAAGAGGAUUCCAGACCUAGGACAGCACCUUCAGACUAGUCUCAUCAAGCUUCAAAAUCCUGAGACUUUCUUCAGAGCCAGUACAGAAUCAUGGUUAUGAACACAGGUUCUAGGGUCAGACUGAGUUCCAAGUGUCAGCUCUAGUAUUUGUUAACUGUUUCAAGAUUCAAUCAGAGAAACAGAACACACAGGCAAUAUACUGAAUAUACCACAUAUGCAUGAGGAGCUGGCUGAAAUCCACAAAUACAAGCUGGAGCACCACAAGCACAGACUGAAAUUCAUGUCAGUCCCUGCUGCCUCUGACCUUGUUGGUGUGGAUGUCCUGCAAAAGACAACACCUUCCUUCAUGGGGGUAAACACAGGAAUCAGAGAAGCUGGAGACAGUGAAGGACCAGCUGCCUUAUAUCAGUAGCAUGAGCCAGCUGGUCAGUAAUAAAAUGGCUAUAGUUUCCUUCCACUCUCCCAAUCUCUCAAGCCUGUUUAGUGACCCACCCUAACUGGAGUUGUGAUGGAAAGGGAAGUCUCAGAACCAGAGUUCAGCCUAGCCAGGCUGGUACAACACAAAGCUAACAUAGCUACAUUGUUAAAUUUCUCUAAGUAUCUGUGUCUUCUUCUAUAGGUAAGCGGGGAUAAUAAUAAUAUCUACCUCAUCAUGAGGCUAUGUUGGGGAUUAUUCUAAAUAAUGCCCGGAAAAUACUUAACACAGUACUAGGCAUCUAAUAAGUUCUCAAUAAAACUAUUAUUAUCAUUAUUGUUAAUAUUAUUGGAUUAAAUGUCCUUCAUUGAUGUUUAAAAGGAAAUCAGGUAUAGGAUUAGGAUAUUUAGUUUCUUGAGAAGAAACUACUAAAUUUCCUAUGUUUCUAAACAUAAGCCACUCAUUAUUCUGGGCAAUAAACAUUUACCACAGUCUUCAAGUGUAAGUUUUAUUAUUACCAUUUUAGAUGAGGCAGUUCAAAAAAUAACUAAGGAAGAGAAGGAGUUCCCUUGGGGAAAAGUGGGUUAAGGACCCAGUGUUGUUACUGCUGCAGUUUGAUCUCCGGCCCAGGAACUUCUGCAUGCUGCAGACACAGCCCAAGAUAAGGGGGCGGGGGGCGGGGGGAAUCAGUCUGAAAAAACUAAGAAACAGAGAAGUUAAGUAACUGGGCCCAAGGUCACACACCUAGUGACUGACAAUGUGUACUCUCUAUUGACAGAUGGAUACAGAUAAAGAUAUAGAUAUAUUGCCAAGAAGAAAAAAUACAGGGUGAUCAAAACUAGAUGAUGAGAAAGAAGCAUUUUAACUGCAAUUUGAAGGAUGAGCAGGAGUUAACCAUAUGAAGCAAGCAGAGAGAAGAGCAUAUAUAAAUGCACACUGGUAAGAAAGAGCCUGGCAUCUUAGAGGAAGAGAGAAGAGAUGGGAGGCAGGACUGGGGUAGAAGAGGGGAAGGGGCAGGGGGAAAGGCUGGCAGGGAGGGGUACAUUUCUACUUUAUCCUAAGUGGAAUGAGAAGAUGGUACAAGCUCUGUCUGGUUCACUUCAGUAUUCCCAGACCUGGAAUGGUGGCUCUUGGUAUAAGGUAGGACCUCGAUAAAUAUUUGCUGAUUGAAAGGAGAGCAUGGAGCAAUAAGAUCAAAUCUCCAGUUGCUAUAAAGUAUGCAUCCUGCCUCUCUUUGGUUCCCUCUUGUAACUUGGAACUCAUAGGUUAUUUUCUUUCUCUUGGUAGCCCUUUGAAUAUUUGAACAUGGCAGUCCUGUUCCUCUAGGUUUCCAUUUCUCCAGGCCAAGAGGCCCGUUCCAUAUUCAGGAACUCUAGUCAAUGCUGUCAAAAACAAAAAACAAAAACAAAAACAAAAAAAAACUUGGUAGGGAAAGAAAAAAAGAACUUCCUCAAUGAUAUUUGUGCUCUCUUUCUGUGCCAUCCAAUAUGGUGGCCACUAGUGCCACGUGGCUAAUGAGCACUUGAGUUAUGGUCAAUGUGACUGGGGGACUAGAUUUCAAAUUUUAUUUAAAUUUUAAAAUUUAAUUUAACUUAUGUUUUAAGUUUUAUUAAGUAAUUUGAAAUUGAAUGGUUCCAUGUGGCUAGAGGCUGCUGAAUUUGUUGGACAGUGCAGCUCUAGUUCUACACUCUGACUCUUUUUCUGAUGAUAAGUAGGACAUCUCUGCAUUUUCUCUGAGCUUCUCACUUUCCUUACCUUCCUCUCCUCCAUAAUUAACCAAUUCUGACACCGACACCCUGUGUUGGCUUUCUAUUUCAUGCCAGCUGAUUUAGUAUACAAGGUCUAAAGAUUAGCUGGCAGGUACCAGCUUUCAGAGCAGCAAUUUUUUGCUUUCUGAAUUACAGAAUUCUUCUUAGUGAUGAGUGCACUACCAUAUUUAUAUAUAUAGUUUCUAAGAACCAAAGUGAGGAUCGGGUAGAGAUCUGCCAGUGCGUUCCUUAUUUACACUGUAAAAGGUAAAUGUUUACUUAAUUUAAUGCUGUGAGACCAAGAAUUAGUGGAUAUAUAUUAACAUGAUCUUGGUUCCUGUGCCAUAGGAUUUGACUCUCUGUUAAAUAUAUUUAGUCACCAAGGUAUUUGCUAGCAAAAUUAGCAAAAUCCAAUAAUGCCCAAUAAUGCCCAACAGAAAUCAAAUCAGCAAAGAGGAAAGAGGACUCUCCUAGGAAAUGCAGAUGAAGAUCAGACAGUCUUUUGACAAAGUCUGGGAGCUUCCCCACCUGGUUACCAUCUAGAGAAUCAAACAGUAUAAAAUGAAGAAUUAAUAAUGAUAGAAGAGAUUAGAAAAGAGAUCAGGGAAUGAAAUGCACUGAAUCUGAAAGCAGGAAAGAUCUUUUGAAAUGAGACAGGAGAGUGCUUCCAGAACUUGAAGGUUUUAUCGCUCUGCACUCAUUCUCUGAAUGCAUGCCAUGUGCCAGGCAUUAGGACACAAAGUCAAAGGACAUGGUGCCUGCCCCCAAGGAGCUCAUGGUCUACAGGGGAAACAAACAUGUACACAUGCACAUUCCUCCAAUAGGUACAGUUGCCAGAUUUAGAAAAUAAAAAUAUGGAAUAUCAAGUUAAAUUUGAAUAAAAAUGAAUAAUUUUUAGUGUAAGUAUAUCCCUUGCAAUAUUUGGGACAUACUUAUACUAAAAACGUUUGUUUAUUUGAAAUUUAAAUGUAACAUUUUUAUCUGGCAAUUCUAAAUACAGAGUCAUAAAUGCAAUGAUGAAGGUAUUAGGUACUACAAGAACAAAUCCAAAAGACAUGGACCUCAGAGUACAUGUCAGAAAAGGAUCACAAAGAGGGUUAAGCUGAAGCCAAAACUUUCCCAACCAAUGGAAGAUAGCCAGGUGAAAAGAAUCUAAAAGCAUCAUCAUGCACAAAGGCACUGCAAUUUGAGAGGACAGAGCAUAUUUGGUGAAAGUAGCUUAACAGGGGUAGAAUAAGAAAUAAAUAGAAUCUCAAUAACUUUCUGGGAGAAAAGCCAAAGUCAGAACCCUAGAAUAACAGUACCACCUAAGGGCUUGACAGAGAAAAGAGAGUUCACGAAAUGAACAAGAAGGAAUAGUAUGAGAAGGAAAAAGACAACCAUGAAGCCAAGAAGGGAGAAGUCCACAGUGACAAAUGCUGUAGGCAGGCCAUGUAGAAUAAGAGAAGUUCCUUGACUCUGCCAACGGCGAUGGCCUCAGUGACCCUGACACAUCCAUCCCAGUGAAAUGCAGUGGCAGCAGGUUGAGACAGACCAUGGAGGGGGCGAGAAUAGGAGGAAGCAAGGUUAGACAUGGCUUUCAAAAAGUCUGCUUGUGAAAGAAGUACAAGGCUUAGACCUGGACAAAAAGGGGACUUGCCUGGGUCCUGAACUUCAGGGAAGACCCAGCCUGGCUCCCCUCCAGCUCCACCCAUGUCCAUGUGGCCAAGGGGACAUGUUCACCCAGAGCCCAUAAGCUCCCUUUCAGGCUCUAGAAGUCUUUGCUCACAUGGACCAAGACUAUUCUCAAAGACUACGUGAACCUCUUCCUAGGUCUGUCUUCUAAAGGGUAGACAAGGUCACAAGUUUAGGUCCCUAAACCUGAGGCAUGGGCCAGAGGUGGCUGUCUGGUGGAUGGAUCUUUGGUAUAAGAACCAGGUGACCACACUCUUGGAAGCAUGGCGCUUCAUGAGGUAGGAUGGAGUCAGAAUGGGAAGUCAAGUAGGAUGGGCCACAGGCUUCCAUCUAUAGUUUAGUCUCAGGCUUCACAAAAGUUAGAAGAAAUCUGUGAGAAGAUGCGGUUAGAAUGCACUUAAGGCCAAGAGAGAGUCCUUUUGAAAUGAGCAUAAUUUGAAAGAACCUGUGGCGAAGGGGGAUGUCGAAGCUAUAGACAGAGGGAAUCAUAACAAAAACCUCCUGGAUCAGUC
This 6128-nucleotide long non-coding RNA is filed under the name Sus scrofa (pig). Its description in RNAcentral is "lncRNA (multiple genes)". The stretch from base 4834 to 4885 matches the Rfam family "mir-1302 microRNA precursor family". The record is from RNAcentral. Lineage: Eukaryota; Metazoa; Chordata; Mammalia; Artiodactyla; Suidae.